AUUGAACGCUGGCGGCAGGCCUAACACAUGCAAGUCGAGCGGAUGAAGGGAGCUUGCUCCUGGAUUCAGCGGCGGACGGGUGAGUAAUGCCUAGGAAUCUGCCUGGUAGUGGGGGAUAACGUCCGGAAACGGGCGCUAAUACCGCAUACGUCCUGAGGGAGAAAGUGGGGGUCUUUGGACCCCACGCUUUCCGGUGAGCCUAGGUCGGAUUAGCUAGUUGGUGGGGUAAAGGCCUACCAAGGCGACGAUCCGUAACUGGUCUGAGAGGAUGAUCAGUCACACUGGAACUGAGACACGGUCCAGACUCCUACGGGAGGCAGCAGUGGGGAAUAUUGGACAAUGGGCGAAAGCCUGAUCCAGCCAUGCCGCGUGUGUGAAGAAGGUCUUCGGAUUGUAAAGCACUUUAAGUUGGGAGGAAGGGCAGUAAGUUAAUACCUUGCUGUUUUGACGUUACCAACAGAAUAAGCACCGGCUAACUUCGUG
Molecule: ribosomal RNA, 483 nt
Filed under: uncultured bacterium
Lineage: Bacteria
Description: partial 16S ribosomal RNA
Rfam family: Bacterial small subunit ribosomal RNA
Source: RNAcentral